RNAcentral lists this ribosomal RNA (253 nucleotides) under uncultured bacterium. RNAcentral describes it as "partial 16S ribosomal RNA". It matches the Rfam family "Bacterial small subunit ribosomal RNA", at positions 524 to 776 of the family's 1533-position model. The record is from RNAcentral.
UACGUAGGUGGCAAGCGUUGUCCGGAAUUACUGGGUGUAAAGCGCGUGUAGGCGGAUCGUUAAGUACCUUGUGAAAUCCCACGGCUCAACCGUGGAACUGCUGGGUAUACUGGCGAUCUUGAGCCACCUAGGGGCGAGCGGAACAAGCGGUGGAGCGGUGAAAUGCGUAGAUAUCGCUUGGAACGCCAAUGGUGAAAACAGCUCGCUGGGGGUGUGCUGACGCUGAGACACGAAAGCCAGGGGAGCGAACGGG